UGGGGAAUUUUGGACAAUGGGCGCAAGCCUGAUCCAGCAAUGCCGCGUGCAGGAUGAAGGCCUUCGGGUUGUAAACUGCUUCUGUACGGAACGAAACGGCUCUGGUUAAUACCUGGGGCUAAUGACGGUACCGUAAGAAUAAGCACCGGCUAACUACGUGCCAGCAGCCGCGGUAAUACGUAGGGUGCGAGCGUUAAUCGGAAUUACUGGGCGUAAAGCGUGCGCAGGCGGUGAUGUAAGACAGAUGUGAAAUCCCCGGGCUCAACCUGGGACCUGCAUUUGUGACUGCAUCGCUGGAGUGCGGCAGAGGGGGAUGGAAUUCCGCGUGUAGCAGUGAAAUGCGUAGAUAUGCGGAGGAACACCGAUGGCGAAGGCAAUCCCCUGGGCCUGCACUGACGCUCAUGCACGAAAGCGUGGGGAGCAAACA
This 427-nucleotide ribosomal RNA is filed under the name uncultured bacterium. RNAcentral describes it as "bacterial SSU rRNA". It matches the Rfam family "Bacterial small subunit ribosomal RNA", at positions 355 to 774 of the family's 1533-position model. The record is from RNAcentral.